GUUCCACGGGUUCCGUGUCGGAGCUAACGCGUUAAGCAUCCCGCCUGGGGAGUACGGCCGCAAGGCUAAAACUCAAAGAAAUUGACGGGGGCCCGCACAAGCGGCGGAGCAUGCGGAUUAAUUCGAUGCAACGCGAAGAACCUUACCUGGGCUUGACAUGUUCCCGACGAUCCCAGAGAUGGGGUUUCCUUCGGGGCGGGUUCACAGGUGGUGCAUGGUCGUCGUCAGCUCGUGUCGUGAGAUGUUGGGUUAAGUCCCGCAACGAGCGCAACCCUCGCCCCGUGUUGCCAGCGGAUUGUGCCGGGAACUCACGGGAGACCGCCGGGGUUAACUCGGAGGAAGGUGGGGAUGACGUCAGAUCAUCAUGCCCCUUACGUCCAGGGCUUCACGCAUGCUACAAUGGCCGGUACAACGGGAUGCGACGCGGCGACGCGGAGCGGAUCCCUGAAAACCGGUCUCAGUUCGGAUCGCAGUCUGCAACUCGACUGCGUGAAGGCGGAGUCGCUAGUAAUCGCGAAUCAGCAACGUCGCGGUGAAUGCGUUCCCGGGCCUUGUACACACCGCCCGUCAAGUCAUGAAAGUGGGCAGCACCCGAAGCCGGUGGCCUAACCCCUUGUGGGAUGGAGCCGUCUAAGGUGAGGC
RNAcentral lists this ribosomal RNA (642 nucleotides) under Bifidobacterium longum subsp. infantis. RNAcentral's name for it is "bacterial SSU rRNA". It matches the Rfam family "Bacterial small subunit ribosomal RNA", at positions 829 to 1468 of the family's 1533-position model. Lineage: Bacteria; Bacillati; Actinomycetota; Actinomycetes; Bifidobacteriales; Bifidobacteriaceae. The record is from RNAcentral.